Long non-coding RNA from Nicotiana tabacum (common tobacco), 1499 nucleotides. RefSeq lists it as uncharacterized. The record is from RefSeq and is a predicted model, not a curated record. Lineage: Eukaryota; Viridiplantae; Streptophyta; Magnoliopsida; Solanales; Solanaceae.
UCUAAUACUCAAAUAUCUAUAUCUCUUGAUCUCUCCCAAAACAAAAUAGUUGAAGUCACACCAAUUCUUUUUUAGAAUUUCACUGUUCAAAGGAAAAUAAUCCAGUAUAUUAAAACAAUUCCAUUUGUCAAGUUCAUUAAUAUUUCCAGCUUUAACUUAGUAUGAGAGGAGAUUCCACAUAUCUUAUUUAACAACUUUAAAUGGUUUAUUCACUGUUCAUUUUCAAUUGAUAACCAUUCAUGCUAUUUGGUUUAUUGUUGAUUUACUUUUAUCGUAUAGGAUAUCUAUGGAUAAUGGUGAUAAAAGUUGGAUGAAUCUUCUGAGAUAGACGGAUGUGUAUAUCCGUGGAGUGAAUGAUUUUCUUGAUAAGGCAUUUGAACGAGCCGCCCAAGGAAAUGAAAUAUUAUGCCCUUGCAAAAAGUGCAUGAAUCACUAUUGGAUUUGAGAGAGAUUUCGGAUACUUUUGUUCGGUUGUUGAGGCCCGUCCCUUCUCCCACGUCCUCUUUGGUUUAGUUGGUAAUUUCUAUCCUCCAUGAAAUUAUAGCAAUAUUAUAGCCUAAUAUGAUAUUUGGUCGUCACUCUCACGCGGAAUGGCUUAGUUCAUUCACAUUAUUCAUUCAACUGGCAUCCAUUUAUCUGCUCCCUAUCAUUUAGAUUUCAAUCUGUAGUAAGUCACUGAUUUGGUGAGAAGUUGGAAUUCUCCAGAUCUUCAGAAGUUGUAUGUCUUCUUAGAGCUUACAUCCUCUGGCCACAAGGUUUGUUUUAAUCUUCAUACUUAGAUAUUCCAUUUUAUGAUCCAUUUGGGGGUUAUUGCUCUCUUGGUUUACUGCAGUCUUUCCUUGAUUUGGUGCUUCAAAUUCUUUUCAAAUAGAAAUUGGAGACCCUGCAUAUACUGAAAUAGCUGUUUUAUUCUGGCAUAGUGAACUUGGAGCUGGACUUUUCGUCUAUAGUAGUUGAUGUCAUUGGAACCCUAACUACUUAAUGGAUUAUGUUCCAGUACUACUGGAAUAGGGUCAUUAUUCUUCUGAAGUGUCAACUCAUCUCUGAUUGAUUGUCUUUGUAUUUCAGGUUGAAGCUGAAGAACAGCCCGAGAUAUCUGAGUUGUACUCUGUUUCUGUUGUUCCUUACUUUGUCUUCUUCAACGUAACUCACAUGGGAAUUUGCUUUCCUUGUCCAUGUACUGUUUGUAUAUCUGCUUGUGUUUGUAAACCUGAGAGAAGGAGUUAACAUGCAUAGACAAAGAAAACCUUAUAUGUAAUACUAUUGACAACCUUAUAGUGCUCCAACUUAUAUAAUGCAGUCCGGAAUACUAAAUGGUUAGAAUUAGGAUUAUUGAUGCCUUCCUUUUGUUUAUCCUUGCUACCUGCCACUUGCCACAUAUGGGUAUGCUGAUUUGAGAUCCACAGAGUUGGAUUAAAUUAGGAUUUUGUUCAAGGCAAUCUAUGUAAUUUUACCUUGUUUGGGUUGUUUGUUUACGCUCAAACUUAAUUUUUGUUGAA